RNAcentral lists this ribosomal RNA (515 nucleotides) under uncultured Ascomycota. RNAcentral describes it as "eukaryotic LSU rRNA". The stretch from base 174 to 327 matches the Rfam family "5.8S ribosomal RNA". Lineage: Eukaryota; Fungi; Ascomycota. The record is from RNAcentral.
CAUUACCGAGUUCAUGCCCUUACGGGUAGACCUCCCACCCUAUGUUAUAUUACCUUUGUUGCUUUGGCGGGCCGCCCGGCUUCGGCCAGGCUACCGGCUCCAGCUGGUAAGCGCUCGCCAGAGGACCCCCAACUCUGAAUAUCAGUGUCGUCCGAGUACUAUAAAAUAGUUAAAACUUUCAACAACGGAUCUCUUGGUUCUGGCAUCGAUGAAGAACGCAGCGAAAUGCGAUAAGUAAUGUGAAUUGCAGAAUUCAGUGAAUCAUCGAAUCUUUGAACGCACAUUGCGCCCCUUGGUAUUCCGAGGGGCAUGCCUGUUCGAGCGUCAUUACAACCCUCAAGCACUGCUUGGUAUUGGGCUCCGCUGGCUCCAGCGGGCCUUAAAAUCAGUGGCGGCGCCGUUUGGGCUCUGAGCGUAGUAAAUAUCCUCGCUAUAGAGACCAGGCGGUUCUUGUCAUCAACCCCCAACUUUCUAAGUUUGACCUCGGAUCAGGUAGGGAUACCCGCUGAACUUAA